GGGAAUAUUGGACAAUGGGCGCAAGCCUGAUCCAGCAAUGCCGCGUGUGUGAAGAAGGUCUUCGGAUUGUAAAGCACUUUUGGCAGGGACGAUGAUGACGGUACCUGCAGAAUAAGCCCCGGCUAACUUCGUGCCAGCAGCCGCGGUAAUACGAAGGGGGCUAGCGUUGCUCGGAAUGACUGGGCGUAAAGGGCGCGUAGGCGGCUUGCACAGUCAGAUGUGAAAUUCCUGGGCUCAACCUGGGGACUGCAUUUGAUACGUGUGGGCUUGAGUGGAGAAGAGGGUCGUGGAAUUUCCAGUGUAGAGGUGAAAUUCGUAGAUAUUGGAAAGAACACCGGUGGCGAAGGCGGCGACCUGGUCUUUAACUGACGCUGAGGCGCGAAAGCGUGGGGAGCAAACA
This 400-nucleotide ribosomal RNA is filed under the name uncultured bacterium. Its description in RNAcentral is "bacterial SSU rRNA". It matches the Rfam family "Bacterial small subunit ribosomal RNA", at positions 357 to 774 of the family's 1533-position model. The record is from RNAcentral.